GGGCCCGCACAAGCGGUGGAGCAUGUGGUUUAAUUCGAUGAUACGCGAGGAACCUUACCAGGGCUUAAAUGUAAGUUGCAUAGAUCAGAGAUGGUCUUUUCUUCGGACUACUUACAAGGUGCUGCAUGGUUGUCGUCAGCUCGUGCCGUGAGGUGUCAGGUUAAGUCCUAUAACGAGCGCAACCCCUGUCGUUAGUUGCCAGCAAGUUAAGUUGGGCACUCUAGCGAGACUGCCGGUGCAAACCGCAGGAAGUGGGGAUGACGUCAAAUCAUCAGGCCCCUUACGUCCUGGGCUACACACGUGCUACAAUGGCCGGUACAGAGAGCAGCCACUACGCGAGUAGGAG
This 346-nucleotide ribosomal RNA is filed under the name uncultured bacterium. RNAcentral describes it as "bacterial SSU rRNA". It matches the Rfam family "Bacterial small subunit ribosomal RNA", at positions 917 to 1267 of the family's 1533-position model. The record is from RNAcentral.